CCCUUAACUCUGGGAUAAGCCUGGGAAACUGGGUCUAAUACUGGAUAUUUACUUNUCACCGCAUGGUGGUUGGUGGAAAGCUUUAUUGUGGUUUUGGAUGGACUCGCGGCCUAUCAGCUUGUUGGUGAGGUAAUGGCUCACCAAGGCGACGACGGGUAGCCGGCCUGAGAGGGUGACCGGCCACACUGGGACUGAGACACGGCCCAGACUCCUACGGGAGGCAGCAGUGGGGAAUAUUGCACAAUGGGCGCAAGCCUGAUGCAGCGACGCCGCGUGAGGGAUGAAUGCCUUCGGGUUGUAAACCUCUUUCAGUAGGGAAGAAGCCUUUUCGUAAGGUGACGGUACUUGCAGAAGAAGCGCCGGCUAACUACGUGCCAGCAGCCGCGGUAAUACGUAGGGCGCAAGCGUUAUCCGGAAUUAUUGGGCGUAAAGAGCUCGUAGGCGGUUUGUCGCGUCUGCCGUGAAAGUCCGGGGCUCAACUCCGGA
This 486-nucleotide ribosomal RNA is filed under the name Actinomycetales bacterium 27-02PB. RNAcentral's name for it is "bacterial SSU rRNA". It matches the Rfam family "Bacterial small subunit ribosomal RNA", at positions 129 to 619 of the family's 1533-position model. The record is from RNAcentral. Lineage: Bacteria; Bacillati; Actinomycetota; Actinomycetes; Actinomycetales.